GGCUGCACGUGGGCUGUGCAAGUUCUUCCUCCAGCCCGUCAACAUGAGGCCCAGAUAGAUCUACGGCCUUCCUUGUCGGUCGGAUUCCCCGCCGGCGGCGGCCGGCGGCCGGCCCCAACUGAUUCUUCCACCCACGCGAGUACGCGACGCUACCAUCGCUUUGAGCCAUUCAUCGCUGAUGCAGCAAGCCGGCGAGUAGUUGACGGCGAACCGAGCGCAACUGCCCGCUGGAAGUGGUCGCUUUUCCCUCCAGGUGGAGCUGGCCGCCGCAACUUGGACCUUCUCCUUCUCCCUUCAGGAUUCUUAUGCCAGGUGGUGCCAGCAGAAGAUACUUACAGCUAAGAGGAAUGUUGAUCUGUUCUCAAUCUCUCCGAUCAUAUUACUCUUGACAUCAGAAAUACUGGAUGAUGUUGAUCCCAGAGAUGUCUCUUUCUUGGCUUCACGCUUCAUGAGACUUUGAUAGAACUCCACGAUCUCCGGCGCACGGUGUACCUUGUCACCACCAGCAAGGCUCCUGGAUAGAGAACCUGGAGGUGGUGGUGGCGGUGGUGGGCCGCCAGGUUUCCCAGGAGGCGGUGGUGGAGGAGGCGCACCAGGUGGACGUGGCGGUGGUACUCCACUUGCAGUAUUCGUAGCCCCUGAAGCAGCAGUGGCUGAUGGCGCGGGAGGUGGCCUGGGAACUCUUGGAGCCCUCUUCUCAAUGUUGGCAAGCUUCAACUGGCUCACCACCAGGGUGUUGUUCUGGUUGUCACUAGAUUGCUCACUGGGUUCAGCAUUAGCUGCAGGGGCCCUCUCCUUAAUCUGAGAGAGUUUUGGAGGGAGUGCACCUUUUGGAGGGGAAACAAGAGCUGAACUAUGUCCACCACCAAAUCUUUGCGCUCUUACUUGCCCAGCCUUCUCUUUUAUCGCCUUCUCCCGUUCAGUUGCAAGCUUGUGCCUAUCUUUGUAAACGGGAUACUUCUCACCAGCAAAACCUUCGACAGUCUUUGACAUCAGAUGGAAUGAGGAUGCAACAUUUGCCUCAUCCAAGGCGUCAUUGGGAUCAUGUUCCCUCUUUCCAAAUGUCGUUAUGGCUAUACCAUCUCCUGCAUUUUUUAGCAUGAGAGCUUCCAGGGGACCCUUUGGUUUGUGGUUGGUACUUUGCCUCCUUGGAGAGCCACUGGUCAGGGAGCGUGUUGGGGAAGCUAAACUGCUGCUGUCAUCCUUGCUCCUUCCCCACUUCUUGAGCUUUAGCAUCAGAUUAGGCCUUUUGCUUAGGAAGCUGUAUCUGCUGGAAGAACUGUCAAUUGAAAUGUUGUCAAAGUCUUCGCUUCCGGGUGAAGAAGGCAUAGAGGAAGCACUCUCAAGGUCAGUGUCACCCUGACCUCGUUCAGAUCCUGCAUACUCCAACAUCAACUGUUUGGCCCUCUCCUGUGACUUCGGGCUCAGGGUCCUGUUAAGGUCACGGGCAGAGACUUUCCCUGAUGGUGUCUGGUAGUUCCGGAGCUCGAAUCUCAGACAAGCAUUGACCCAACGCAGGUAAACCAGCUCCUCGACUUCACUGAACCUGUUCAUCUGCAGGCCUUCCACUUGCUUUGUAAGGUCCUCAUUUGUAUGCCUCAGCUUGUUUAUCUCUUCUCUUGCGUGGGCAACUACAUCACUC
Long non-coding RNA from Phragmites australis (common reed), 1642 nucleotides. RefSeq lists it as uncharacterized. The transcript is spliced from 2 exons. NCBI's taxonomy places the organism in Eukaryota, Viridiplantae, Streptophyta, Magnoliopsida, Poales, Poaceae. The record is from RefSeq and is a predicted model, not a curated record.